GAUGCACGCUCCCGACAGAGUUACCUCUCGUUCCAGUGCCUUUUCUGAAGACAAAGGAAUUCUCCGGUUGGAACAUUAUUGAUGUUUUAUGUUAAAAACAUCCUAAUGAUUGAUUCCACACAUAGUUUGACAUGUUUCUAAAAGACUGUAACGGAACUUUUCGAGUUUUUGUCUGGAUGAUAUGCUCGCGCCUCAUGAAGAUGGAUUACUGGGCUGAAAACGCUAACAACAAGUGGCUAUUUGGACAUAAAUGAUGAUAAAUUAACUUUAUGGAACAAAUCAGUCAUUUAUUGUCGAACUGGGAUUCCUGGGAGUCCCUUCUGAUGAAGAUCAUCAAAGUGUGCAGAACAGAAGAGGAUAAAUCACUUUGAUGGCAGUCGCGUCCUGCAUCCCAAAAAUCUGAAGGGGCACAAAGUACUGUGGGCUGUGGGGGAGUGCAGGGAGGAGCUAUGCCCACACAUCUAAGUGGGUUUGCACAACCUCGACCAGAUGGAUGGGCCAUUUUUACAUUAUAGACAUCAAAAAGUGGAGCAAAAGAUCCAGGAGAUGGUCACGACAGGGGUCAUCAGGCUAUCCAACGGCCCUUGGAUGGCCCCUGUAGUCCUUGUCAAGAAGAAGGACAGCUCAUGUUGCUCCUAUGUGGACUUCAGGCAGCUGAACUAUGUGACUAGGAAGAAUUCCUAUCCCCUCCCGCUCCCUCCAUCUCCUGAAAGCCAGGCUGAAGACUGCCUUCACAAUUGCAUUAGGUCUUUGUCUGUUCACUUUGAUUCCCUUUGGACUCUGCAACACUCUGUGCCUACCUUUGAGCACCUUAUGGAGCAAGUUAUGACCACAAUCCCCUGCAACAAGUGUGUUGUCUACCUGGAUGACCUCCUUGUGCACUCACCGGACUUCAAGGGUCCAUUCCCUUGAAGGGGCAAGCCACUUUGGGCACACAAAUACCAUCCACCGCCUCAGAGAGAAUUCUUACUGGGCUGGAGUGGUAUGUGUAUGCCUGCGAAACCUGUAUUGGCCACAAAGGCCCAACUGGACACUCCCAUGCCCCAUUACAGCAAUACCAGGUGUGGGUCCCCAUCAAGCGGGUCCUUUCCCCAAGACUGAGGCGGGCAACCGGUUCGUAUUGUAGCCAUGGACUGCAUUACCGUGGCCAGAGGCCAAUGUAGUUCCCGACCAGUCCACCACAACUACUGCCAACAAGCUGGUGAAGGGGAUGUUUUGCCGGUUUGGAGUACUGGAAGAUGUCCACAGUGAUCAGACGAGAAAUGUUGACAAUAAGGUGUUAAAGACAGUCUGUAUGGAACUGGUGGUGCGCAGGACGAGAACCAGCCCCCUGUUCUUUAAAGCAAAAGGCUGGUCGAACGGUCUAAUCAGACUUUGGCGAUACAUCUGGCUACGCUCACCUCAAACCACCAGAAGGACUGGGACAAACAUCUGUCAUUGGUCUAUUGGGCUUACCGGUCAGCAGUACAAGAGUCCACUGGCUGCACCCCAGCGGCGCUGAUGUUAGGCAGAUAACUAAACACUACAGUGGACUUUUCCUUUGGAAUACCACCUCAACCUUACAGUAAGCAGUGCUUGGAUACAGGCCAUAACUUCGUACGGUGUCGCUUGAUGGAAUGCAUGGUCAAACUUACGCUGUGAGGUCCAGGGACUUGGCCUCUCACUAUGACUCAUCGGAAGGUAUCAAUCAAUCACAUUUAUUUCAUAAAGCCCUUUAUACAUAAGCAUUGCUAUACAUAUACCCAGCCUAAAACCCCCAAAAGGAAGCAAUGCAGAUGUAGAAGGACAGUGUUAGGUGUAGAAGGACAGUGUUAGGUGUAGAAGCAGAGUGUUAGGUGUAGAAGGACAGUGUUAGGUGUAGAAGAACAGUGUUAGGUGUAGAAGAACAGUGUUAGGUGUAGAAGAACAGUGUUAGGUGUAGAAGGACAGUGUUUGGUGUAGAAGCAGAGUGUUAGGUGUAGAAGGACAGUGUUAGGUGUGGAAGCAGAGUGUUAGGUGUAGAAGGACAGUGUUAGGUGUAGAAGAACAGUGUUAGGUGUAGAAUGACAGUGUUAGGUGUAGAAGGACAGUGUUAGGUGUAGAAGGACAGUGUUAAGUGUAGAAGGACAGUGUUAGGUGUAGAAGAACAGUGUUAGGUGUAGAAGGACAGUGUUAGGUGUAGAAGGACAGUGUUAAGUGUAGAAGGACAGUGUUAAGUGUAGAAGAACAGUGUUAGGUGUAGAAGAACAGUGUUAGGUGUAGAAGGUGCCAGUUUUAGGUGUAGAAGGACAGUGUUAAGUGUAGAAGAACAGUGUUAGGUGUAGAAGAACAGUGUUAGGUGUAGAAGAAUAGUGUUAGGUGUAGAAGGACAGUGUUAGGUGUAGAAGCAGAGUGUUAGGUGUAGAAGGACAGUGUUAAGUGUAGAAGAACAGUGUUAGGUGUAGAAGGACAUUGUUAGGUGUAGAAGGACAGUGUUAGGUGUAGAAGGACAGUGUUAGGUGUAGAAGAACAGUGUUAGGUGUAGAAGGGGACAGUGUUAGGUGUAGGACAGUGUUAAGUGUAGAAGAACAGUGUUAUGUGUAGAAGAACAGUGUUAUGUGUAGAAGAACAGUGUUAGGUGUAGAAGAACAGUGUUAGGUUUAGAAGGACAGUGUUAGGUGUAGAAGCAGAGUGUUAGGUAUAGAAGGACAGUGUUAGGUGUAGAAGGACAGUGUUAGGUGUAGAAGAACAGUGUUAGGUGUAGAAGGGGACAGUGUUAGGUGUAGAAGAACAGUGUUAGGUGAAGAAGGACAGUGUUAGGUGUAGAAGAACAGUGUUAGGUGUAGAAGAACAGUGUUAGGUGUAGAAGGACAGUGUUAGGUGAAGAAGCAGUGUUAGGUAAGGAGACAUGUGAAAUGAGUUCACAUUGAACAAAAAUCUAUACUCUAUCUAGCCUACCAGGUCUGACAACAUCCUCCCUGUCUCCAUGACAACAUGUUUGUAGAAAAUAAAACAAAUAUCCCACUGGGCACAGACGUCAGUUCAACGUCUAGUUUUGAUUUACAUUUGGUUGAGUUGUCAAAUACAGUGAAUUCAACGUGAAAUCAACAAAUCAUUUUACCAUGUCAUUUGAUUUAGGUUAAAAGUUUGGUGAAAGAAAGAUGUAAUUCCCUUACGUUGAUUACUUUUUUCAAAUCCAAUCAGUUUACCAUGUUGAUUAAACGUCAUCACAUUGAAUUUGUUGGUUGAAAUGACGUGGAAACAACGUUGAUUCAACUAGUUUUUGCUCAGUCGGAUGAUGCCCAGAGAGAGACUCACAUGGUGUUGGUGCAGGGCUGACUCUGCUCAUUUUUCUGUCACAUCAAUAAAAUGCUUUUUAGCAAACUGACAGCCACAAGUACAUACAGUACUGUACUGAAGCUUUCCACAGACACACAACAGCUGUUCGAAAAAAAUACUAUGGUCUUAUGAAAAUAAUCCUUGAUCUUAAUUGCUCUUCAAUACCAGAAUACAGUCAAGUAAUAUAGUGUCGGCAUGUCUUCAUAUAGAUACUGUAUAUGAUGGAUUGAAAGUAAGUUACAUUUGAGAAAAGUGAGGAUAUUAUGCAAACAAAAGCUCUAGGACCUAUAAAGGUAGAGUAAAUUCAAUUAUUUCACAGAUAUUUUCAGUUGUCCAUUGGCACUGACCAGUGGCUAGCCCCAGCCCUAUGGAGUGAAGCCAGGCAUAGUAAUCAUUCUUCAGUAAUCAGAGCUCACUGGACUGUCUCCUGGACCUUGCCUGAUAGACUAGAUCAAUGUCCUGUCAGAUCCUACCCUUCAAUAUUCCACGUAACUGGGCUCUCCACAGCCCAGGCCCCACAACACAGGAAUGACCUGCCAUCUCACAAUAUCCAGUCUCCACUAGUAUUUACCUGCCGUUUCAUAGGUGGCAAUUGAAAUCAAUUCAACAUAAUUGAUAAUUACCUGGUGUCACAUCGGUAUCUAGAGGUGUUUUUAUAGGAUGAGACUAUAUUUACUUCAAAGACAAGUCAUUGUAGGCCUCGCAAAUCUUGUAUCCAUAUAUUUAUGUAUGGCUCUGGUAUGGCUCUGGUAUUGGGCUUCAAAAUGUGGGUUUUCAAUAUGUUUCCAUAACUACUGUAUGUACAAUUAGACUGGUGCAGACAAAACACAUGAUUUUCACACAAAGUCAUUAACUUGCAGCAAUUUUAACUUGCAACCUUUCAAGCUUAUACUAAAGGUGGCAAUACAUUUACUGAGGCUUAUAAUUGUUUGUCAAUAAAGAAUGAUACCAACAUAGCUCCAGUAGUUUGUGGAGGUAUAUUUUCAACUCUAAUUUGUUGAAUUAGCAUUCAUGAUUAUAUAUAGAUAUAGGACCUUAAUUUGAUAACCCUG
Long non-coding RNA from Oncorhynchus tshawytscha (Chinook salmon), 4349 nucleotides. The record is from Ensembl. Lineage: Eukaryota; Metazoa; Chordata; Actinopteri; Salmoniformes; Salmonidae.